CUUGUACACACCGCCCGUCACACCACGAGAGUUUACAACACCCGAAGUCGGUGGGGCAGCCGCAAGGAGCCAGCCGCCGAAGGUGGGGUAGAUGAUUGGGGUG
RNAcentral lists this ribosomal RNA (103 nucleotides) under uncultured bacterium. Its description in RNAcentral is "partial 16S ribosomal RNA". It matches the Rfam family "Bacterial small subunit ribosomal RNA", at positions 1380 to 1482 of the family's 1533-position model. The record is from RNAcentral.